CAAGGAAUAGUUUAAUAACAGGAGAAUUUUAGCUUUGGGAGUUAGUGGUAGGGGUUAGAUUCCCCUUUCUUUGA
Molecule: transfer RNA, 74 nt
Filed under: Holacanthus tricolor (rock beauty)
Lineage: Eukaryota; Metazoa; Chordata; Actinopteri; Pomacanthidae
Description: tRNA-Pro
Rfam family: tRNA
About the family: Transfer RNA (tRNA) molecules are approximately 80 nucleotides in length. Their secondary structure includes four short double-helical elements and three loops (D, anti-codon, and T loops). Further hydrogen bonds mediate the characteristic L-shaped molecular structure. tRNAs have two regions of fundamental functional importance: the anti-codon, which is responsible for specific mRNA codon recognition, and the 3' end, to which the tRNAs corresponding amino acid is attached (by aminoacyl-tRNA synthetases). tRNAs cope with the degeneracy of the genetic code in two manners: having more than one tRNA (with a specific anti-codon) for a particular amino acid; and 'wobble' base-pairing, i.e. permitting non-standard base-pairing at the 3rd anti-codon position.
Source: RNAcentral